CUGGCGGCGUGCCUAAUACAUGCAAGUCGAACGGUCUUUCUAUGGAAGCUUGCUUCCACUGAGAAGAUAGUGGCGAACGGGUGAGUAACACGUGGGUAACCUGCCCAUAAGAGGGGGGAUAACAUCCGGAAACGGGUGCUAAUACCGCAUAGUUUUCUUGAUCGCAUGAUUGAGAAAGGAAAGACGGCCUUUGUGCUGUCGCUUAUGGAUGGACCCGCGGCGUAUUAGUUAGUUGGUGAGGUAACGGCUCACCAAGACGAUGAUACGUAGCCGACCUGAGAGGGUGAUCGGCCACAUUGGGACUGAGACACGGCCCAAACUCCUACGGGAGGCAGCAGUAGGGAAUCUUCCGCAAUGGACGAAAGUCUGACGGAGCAACGCCGCGUGAGUGAAGAAAGGUUUUCGGAUCGUAAAACUCUGUUGUCAGAGAAGAACAAGUUGGAGAGUAACUGCUCCAGCCUUGACGGUAUCUGACCAGAAAGCCACGGCUAACUACGUGCCAGCCGCAGC
RNAcentral lists this ribosomal RNA (510 nucleotides) under uncultured bacterium. RNAcentral's name for it is "bacterial SSU rRNA". It matches the Rfam family "Bacterial small subunit ribosomal RNA", at positions 36 to 518 of the family's 1533-position model. The record is from RNAcentral.